GGGCCCCAUGGGACCCCGCGGCCCCCCCGGCCCCACUGGUGCACCUGGUCCCCAAGGAUUUCAAGGCAACCCCGGUGAGCCCGGCGAACCCGGUGCUGCUGGUCCGAUGGGUCCCCGGGGACCUCCGGGACCACCUGGGAAACCCGGUGACGACGGUGAGACAGGCAAACCUGGCAAAUCUGGUGAACGUGGCCCCCCCGGCCCCCAGG
Meleagris gallopavo (turkey) is the source of this 209-nucleotide non-coding RNA. Lineage: Eukaryota; Metazoa; Chordata; Aves; Galliformes; Phasianidae. The record is from RefSeq and is a predicted model, not a curated record.